RNAcentral lists this ribosomal RNA (492 nucleotides) under uncultured bacterium. RNAcentral describes it as "partial 16S ribosomal RNA". It matches the Rfam family "Bacterial small subunit ribosomal RNA", at positions 29 to 507 of the family's 1533-position model. The record is from RNAcentral.
AUUGAACGCUGGCGGCAUGCUUUACACAUGCAAGUCGAACGGUAACAGGCCUUCGGGUGCUGACGAGUGGCGAACGGGUGAGUAAUGCAUCGGAACGUACCCAGAGGUGGGGGAUAACGCAGCGAAAGCUGUGCUAAUACCGCAUGUGAUCUGAGGAUGAAAGCGGGGGACCGAGCAGCAAUGUUUGGCCUCGCGCCUUUGGAGCGGCCGAUGUCGGAUUAGCUAGUUGGUGGGGUAAAGGCCUACCAAGGCGACGAUCCGUAGCUGGUCUGAGAGGACGAACAGCCACACUGGGACUGGGCAACGGCCCAGACUCCUACGGGAGGCAGCAGUGGGGAAUUUUGGACAAUGGGCGCAAGCCUGAUCCAGCAAUGCCGCGUGCGGGAAGAAGGCCUUCGGGUUGUAAACCGCUUUUGGCAGGAACGAAACGGUGUCCGCUAAUACCGGGCGCUAAUGACGGUACCUGCAGAAUAAGCACCGGCUAACUACGUG